Long non-coding RNA from Odocoileus virginianus texanus, 595 nucleotides. RefSeq lists it as uncharacterized. The record is from RefSeq and is a predicted model, not a curated record. NCBI's taxonomy places the organism in Eukaryota, Metazoa, Chordata, Mammalia, Artiodactyla, Cervidae.
UAUAUGCCCAUCGGCAGACAUAUGGAUAAGAAAACUGUGGGAGCUGAUUUGAUGAAUGGUGGAGAAGGAAAUCUGGUAGUCCUGAAGGUUGGAGUUUUAGAAGCUGCACUGCCGACACCAUGGAAACAACCUUCAUUCAGCCUCCAUGACCUUCCUGAAUUCCAAUGCACAUAUUCAAGCAGUUGUUAAUUAAUGAAGAGAAGGAAUACAAGACCAGGGAGAAACAGCAAAGAGCAGCCUUGGGACAAGAGCCUAGCUCCUCAUCAAAGGAUACACACAGCAGUAUCUUUGAGCUGUUUUACAGAUACUGAACGUCCCUCCAGAAAGAAAAGAGGAUAGCAGCAUCUCAAAGAUAAAACCAAGAGAAGCAAAAUGGAGAAAACAACAACAGCAACAAUUCAUCUUUGUCCGGAGACAAUCCCAGAGAGGAGCCUAGAGGACUGGCCAGAUGGAUACAGCCUCCAACCCAACCUGGAACUUGGAACCUACUGGUGGGUUAGGUCAGCAGUCAGCUGAGAAGAGGACCACAAUUUGAAGCACAUGGAGGUAAGAGCAGAGAGCCCCGAGAGGAAGUGUCUCCUUUGCAAAUGGCCUU